Molecule: unclassified non-coding RNA, 225 nt
Filed under: Hevea brasiliensis (rubber tree)
Lineage: Eukaryota; Viridiplantae; Streptophyta; Magnoliopsida; Malpighiales; Euphorbiaceae
Source: RNAcentral
GAGAGCAAUCAGUUCAAAUUUGGAUUUUCAUUUGUUAGGGUUAGGGUUUUAAGAUGGGAACGGAUUCUCGUUUCUCUGGAACCUCUGGUUUCAAAUUUGAGAAUGAGAUUGUUUUCCCUGAUCNNNCAAACUCUACAAACAGGUUCAAAUUCAACGACCUCUCUUUUGAUAUGGACUUCGACCCUGUAGACAGGUCACUUAGUUUGCCUGACCUAGAUCCCAGCA